AUAGCAGCUUAUUCCCAGCACAUGUAAGUGCUAGUACUUUAACACAGACCAGCACAGUACAUGUACUAAGAAUAAGACAGCUAAGUGACUUAGUCUUUUGUUCAAUAAAAAAGGAAAAAUGUUGAAGAGCAGCUUACUUCGUGUGCAUGUGGUGUAAGUUCGCAACUCAUUGCUAGCACAUGUAAGUGCUAGUACUUUAACACAGACCAGCACAGUACAUGUACUAAGAAUAAGACAGCUUGGUAACUUAUGUCUUUUAUUAAAAAAUUAAAAAGGAAAAAAUAUAAGAUAGCAGCUAUCUUGUGCAAGCAGUCCAAGUAAGCGCCUUAUCCCAAGCACAUGUAAGUGCUAGUACUAUUACACAGACCAGCGCAUUACAUGUACUAAGAAUAAGACAGCUUAG
Molecule: long non-coding RNA, 403 nt
Filed under: Mytilus galloprovincialis (Mediterranean mussel)
Lineage: Eukaryota; Metazoa; Mollusca; Bivalvia; Mytilida; Mytilidae
Source: RNAcentral